This 447-nucleotide ribosomal RNA is filed under the name bacterium Ellin308. RNAcentral's name for it is "bacterial SSU rRNA". It matches the Rfam family "Bacterial small subunit ribosomal RNA", at positions 28 to 491 of the family's 1533-position model. The record is from RNAcentral. Lineage: Bacteria; Bacillati; Actinomycetota; Actinomycetes; Actinomycetales.
GACGAACGCUGGCGGCGUGCUUAACACAUGCAAGUCGAACGGUGAAGCCCCUUCGGGGGUGGAUCAGUGGCGAACGGGUGAGUAACACGUGGGCAACCUGCCCCUGGCUCUGGGAUAACUCCGGGAAACCGGGGCUAAUACCGGAUACGACAUCGGGUGACAUCACGCGAUGUGGAAAGUUUUUCGGCCAGGGAUGGGCCCGCGGCCUAUCAGCUUGUUGGUGGGGUGAAGGCCUACCAAGGCGACGACGGGUAGCCGGCCUGAGAGGGCGACCGGCCACACUGGGACUGAGACACGGCCCAGACUCCUACGGGAGGCAGCAGUGGGGAAUAUUGCGCAAUGGGCGAAAGCCUGACGCAGCGACGCCGCGUGAGGGACGAAGGCCUUCGGGUUGUAAACCUCUUUCAGCAGGGACGAAGCGAAAGUGACUGUACCUGCAGAAGAAGC